GCCGGGUGUGGUGGUGCACGCCUGUAGUCCCAGUGACUUGGGAGGCUGAGGCGGGAGAAUCACUUGAACCUGGGAGGCAGAGGUUGCAGUGAGCCAAGAUGGCACCACUGCAUUCCAGCCUGGGUGACAGAGUGAGAACCUGUCUCUU
Molecule: unclassified non-coding RNA, 148 nt
Organism: Papio anubis (olive baboon)
Lineage: Eukaryota; Metazoa; Chordata; Mammalia; Primates; Cercopithecidae
Rfam family: Metazoan signal recognition particle RNA
About the family: The signal recognition particle (SRP) is a universally conserved ribonucleoprotein. It is involved in the co-translational targeting of proteins to membranes. The eukaryotic SRP consists of a 300-nucleotide 7S RNA and six proteins: SRPs 72, 68, 54, 19, 14, and 9.
Source: Ensembl